Exaiptasia diaphana is the source of this 169-nucleotide long non-coding RNA. RefSeq lists it as uncharacterized. The record is from RefSeq and is a predicted model, not a curated record. NCBI's taxonomy places the organism in Eukaryota, Metazoa, Cnidaria, Anthozoa, Actiniaria, Aiptasiidae. The transcript is spliced from 2 exons.
GAAGCUGAAAAGAGAAGAGACCCAGGAGAAGUCCAAGACGAUCAAAAUGAUAUACCAAGGGUGUGGCGUCGAUCUCCCGGCUAUUGUUGCUUACGUUACAAGAGAGUUUACCAWUGCAUCAACUAUCUUUGCGGAACGAGAUGUCACAAAACAGGCUGGUGGCUUGGAG